GCUUUUUUGAUAUAGUGGUUAGUAAUGCUGACUGCUGUGUCAUUGUGCCUGGGUUCAAUUCCCAGAGAAAGCA
Molecule: non-coding RNA, 73 nt
Organism: Trichonephila inaurata madagascariensis
Lineage: Eukaryota; Metazoa; Arthropoda; Arachnida; Araneae; Nephilidae
Source: the annotation of a GenBank genome assembly